This 387-nucleotide ribosomal RNA is filed under the name uncultured bacterium. RNAcentral's name for it is "bacterial SSU rRNA". It matches the Rfam family "Bacterial small subunit ribosomal RNA", at positions 30 to 424 of the family's 1533-position model. The record is from RNAcentral.
AUUGAACGCUGGCGGCAUGCCUUACACAUGCAAGUCGAACGGCAGCACGGGGCAACCUGGUGGCGAGUGGCGAACGGGUGAGUAAUGCAUCGGAACGUGCCAUUGAGUGGGGGAUAACGUAGCGAAAGUUGCGCUAAUACCGCAUAUUCUGUGAGCAGGAAAGCAGGGGACCGCAAGGCCUUGCGCUCUUUGAGCGGCCGAUGUCAGAUUAGCUAGUUGGUGAGGUAACGGCUUACCAAGGCGACGAUCUGUAGCGGGUCUGAGAGGAUGAUCCGCACACUGGAACUGAGACACGGUCCAGACUCCUACGGGAGGCAGCAGUGGGAAUUUUGGACAAUGGCGCAAGCCUGAUCCAGCCAUGCCGCGUGAGUGAAGAAGGCCUCGGUU